GCAAGUCGAGCGAACUGAUUAAAAGCUUGCUUCUAUGACGUUAGCGGCGGACGGGUGAGUAACACGUGGGCAACCUGCCUGUAAGACUGGGAUAACUUCGGGAAACCGAAGCUAAUACCGGAUAGGAUCUUCUCCUUCAUGGGAGAUGAUUGAAAGAUGGUUUCGGCUAUCACUUACAGAUGGGCCCGCGGUGCAUUAGCUAGUUGGUGAGGUAACGGCUCACCAAGGCAACGAUGCAUAGCCGACCUGAGAGGGUGAUCGGCCACACUGGGACUGAGACACGGCCCAGACUCCUACGGGAGGCAGCAGUAGGGAAUCUUCCGCAAUGGACGAAAGUCUGACGGAGCAACGCCGCGUGAGUGAUGAAGGCUUUCGGGUCGUAAAACUCUGUUGUUAGGGAAGAACAAGUACAAGAGUAACUGCUCGUACCUUGACGGUACCUAACCAGAAAGCCACGGCUAACUACGUGCCAGCAGCCGCGGUAAUACGUAGGUGGCAAGCGUUAUCCGGAAUUAUUGGGCGUAAAGCGCGCGCAGGCGGUUUCUUAAGUCUGAUGUGAAAGCCCACGGCUCAACCGUGGAGGGUCAUUGGAAACUGGGGAACUUGAGUGCAGAAGAGAAAAGCGGUAAUUCCACGUGUAGCGGUGAAAUGCGUAGAGAUGUGGAGGAACACCAGUGGCGAAGGCGGCUUUUUGGUCUGUAACUGACGCUGAGGCGCGAAAGCGUGAGGGAGCAAACAGGAUUAGAUACCCUGGUAGUCCACGCCGUAAACGAUGAGUGCUAAGUGUUAGAGGGUUUCCGCCCUUUAGUGCUGCAGCUAACGCAUUAAGCACUCCGCCUGGGGAGUACGGUCGCAAGACUGAAACUCAAAGGAAUUGACGGGGGGCCCGCACAAGCGGUGGAGCAUGUGGUUUAAUUUGAAGCAACGCGAAGAACCUUACCAGGUUUUGACAUCCUCUGACAACUCUAGAGAUAGAGCGUUCCCCUUCGGGGGACAGAGUGACAGGUGGUGCAUGGUUGUCGUCAGCUCGUGUCGUGAGAUGUUGGGUUAAGUCCCGCAACGAGCGCAACCCUUGAUUUUAGUUGCCAGCAUUUAGUUGGGCACUCUAAGGUGACUGCCGGUGACAAACCGGAGGAAGGUGGGGAUGACGUCAAAUCAUCAUGCCCCUUAUGACCUGGGCUACACACGUGCUACAAUGGAUGGUACAAAGGGCUGCAAGACCGCGAGGUCAAGCCAAUCCCAUAAAACCAUUCUCAGUUCGGAUUGUAGGCUGCAACUCGCCUACAUGAAGCUGGAAUCGCUAGUAAUCGCGGAUCAGCAUGCCGCGGUGAAUACGUUCCCGGGCCUUGUACACACCGCCCGUCACACCACGAGAGUUUGUAACACCCGAAGUGGGUGGAGUAACCGUAAGGAGCUAGCCGCCUAAGGUGGGACAGAUGAUUGGGGUGAAGUCGUAAGCA
Molecule: ribosomal RNA, 1460 nt
Filed under: Priestia megaterium
Lineage: Bacteria; Bacillati; Bacillota; Bacilli; Caryophanales; Bacillaceae
Description: bacterial SSU rRNA
Rfam family: Bacterial small subunit ribosomal RNA
Source: RNAcentral